CAUUACCUGAGUUGUGCUUCGGCUCCUCUUUUCUGCGCGGAUGAAUCUGAUGGCGCAGUGACGCGACCAAGCUUACAGGUGUGAUUAAAUGUAACUAACGACAACAUAACUUCUCCAAUAACAGAUGUAAGAAAAAAAGCUAAACUCUGCAGAAAGUGGACCUCAAGAUACAGAAAGACCUGAGAUAAGAUGUUGUUGAGGGGGUGAAAGGAGCUCGUCUCCGACGGCCCACCUCCCAUGUUGAGCCAGGCAUCCAAGGAGUUCUGUGAGGAUGAAUGCAGAUUGGUGUUCUCAGACAGAGAGAGCAUCAUUGCAUAAGCCUGGAUGGAGAAAAGGAGGACAGUUCAAUUGCAAAGCCAAAACAUUUGUCAUCUGUUAAUUAGGGGUUCCUCGCCAGCCUUAUGGAACUCCAGGCCUUUGGGGAAACCAGCCAGAGGUUCCAGAUCUAAUAGGCCUGCAUCCUCCUCAAUACACCUGUACCAGGAUAGGGAGGGGUGUGGAGAGGGGAGGGAC
This is a long non-coding RNA of Cyprinus carpio (common carp), 513 nucleotides long. RefSeq lists it as uncharacterized. Lineage: Eukaryota; Metazoa; Chordata; Actinopteri; Cypriniformes; Cyprinidae. The record is from RefSeq and is a predicted model, not a curated record. The transcript is spliced from 4 exons.